This 399-nucleotide long non-coding RNA is filed under the name Vigna radiata. RNAcentral describes it as "long non-coding RNA (VRAD_LNC003922)". The record is from RNAcentral. Lineage: Eukaryota; Viridiplantae; Streptophyta; Magnoliopsida; Fabales; Fabaceae.
CUUUUUAUUGUUCUCAUGUGCUUCUGUUUUUGUUGGAUGUUGUCAGUCGGAAGGUCCUACUGGUGGAGAUGAAGAAGAGUCUGAGAAGUCAGUAUCUGAGGUGAAUGAUGAGGAUGAUGAUGAGGAGGGCAGUGCCGAGGUUUUUAUAUUUAUUCUUUUUCCACCUUUCUCUUAUUGGUUAUGGUAUCUAUUUGCUUCGUCUUUACUUGGUGUUGUUUUUUUGUUUUUGUUUUUCCGUGCAGGAGGAAGAUGAUGAUUAGAAAGUGGACCGAUAACCAUUUAUGUAGGUUUUGAUGAUUUUGAUCAUCUUUUGUAGGUGGUCUGGUCAUUUCCUGAUAAACAAACAUGUUUCUUGCUUCCAGAAAAUAUUUCUCUGCUCCCUCCGUAAAUUUGUUUUGU